UACGUAGGGUGCAAGCGUUGCCCGGAUUUAUUGGGCGUAAAGGGCGCGUAGGCGGCCAUGCGUGUCUUCCGUGAAAUCCCUCGGCUUAACCGAGGACGUGCGGAAGAAACUGCAAGGCUCGAGUCCGGAAGAGGGGGGCGGAAUCCCCAGUGUAGCGGUGAAAUGCGUAGAUAUUGGGAGGAACACCAGUGGCGAAGGCGGUCCCCUGGGCCGGAACUGACGCUGAGGCGCGAAAGCGUGGGUAGCAAACGGG
This 253-nucleotide ribosomal RNA is filed under the name uncultured bacterium. RNAcentral's name for it is "partial 16S ribosomal RNA". It matches the Rfam family "Bacterial small subunit ribosomal RNA", at positions 524 to 776 of the family's 1533-position model. The record is from RNAcentral.